This is a long non-coding RNA of Glossina fuscipes, 1284 nucleotides long. RefSeq lists it as uncharacterized. The record is from RefSeq and is a predicted model, not a curated record. The transcript has 3 exons. NCBI's taxonomy places the organism in Eukaryota, Metazoa, Arthropoda, Insecta, Diptera, Glossinidae.
GAUAUUGCCCUGAACGCUUUCCAAAAGCUGUGUUAACCAAGCUCCCACAUUACUGAAACCCAUGUUCAUCAUAGCUUUAACGGCACAGUUAACGCGUUCAUCUACAUGAAAAAAAAAUGAAAGAUAUUUUGAUGCUAAAAAAUCGUAGAAGAGAAAUUUACCAGCAUGGUAAGUAAUUUCAAUAAAUGAUUCCGUUGGGGUUAUGGUAGUCAAAGUAGUCGUGUUUACGACACAUAGAUAGUAACGAUUUUAAGCUUCGCAUAACAGAUGUUUAUAUUUAAAUUAAAUAGUAUACAUGUUAGUAGAGUAGCUCACUUAAUAUGCUCUCUAAACAAUUGCAUGUGAAUCGUGAGACGUCCAAUAUUCGUUAUCAAGCCCAAAUGCAUAAGAAAUUAUGAAUGAUUUGGACGACGAAUAUGCUAAUAAAAAUACAAUACAUAAUGAACUAAAUAAAAGGCGAAUAAAAAAUAAUCAAAGGUCCACCAUACCAAGAAGUACAGGGAUAAGUCGUGCUUUAAGUAGAACAAAGUAAAGAUUAAAGAAGUCCGCCCACAAAGUUAAGUCAAUGGAAAAUCGGGCUUGGAGAACCGCAAGUAGAAGAUUAAAGAAGUCCGCCCGCAAAAUUAAGUCCAACUGUUCGCUCAUCGCCUCAUCGUAAUGUAAGAUUCGCUGCAUCCCAAAGGUAAGUUUGCAUUUAUCCUUACUUAUAAUUAUGUAUAAUUUAUUCAUUAAUUUUUAUUUUAUUUUAGAUUAAAAAGCAAGCAUACACCUCCACUCAUCGUUUCAGCAGAAUGCGAUACUUCCAAAGGCCAAUGGUAAGUUUGUGGUCGUCUUUAUAUAUAAAAUUCAGUAAUCACAAUAUUUUUCUUUUGCACAUGUCAGCACACCGAAAAGAUGUGACUAGGCAUAGCAGGAAUUUUUUAAAAUUUAUAUGUAUGUUGUGUAUUAUUAUGUAUUAUUAUUAUUGUAAAUACUAUUGUAAUAUUUAAUUAGGUCUAUAAUGGUGUAGGCAUAAAUGGGAGCCAGCCAUUUCAAACAAUUGGCAACGCGCCUAUCACGGUACCCCAAGGGUGGUGCGGAACACCGUGAAAACCAGGCUCUACACAUUCUUGUACUUUGCGGUUAUGUGGAAGAAGCCGCGACCUAUUAUAUUCUAUGUAUCAAAAAUUACGGCGCAAUAAUUUGGCGGUAACAUCCGUCAUGAGGCACAAUUCAAAAAUAUGCGAAAAUCGAUCGGCAGGUCUGUAAAAAUUUACAAAAACUAGUGAGGAGACGUUCAAGGGG